CUCAGAAAGCACAGACUCUGACGAGUUUGAGAACGAGGAGCCGUUCAGGUUGCAGCAUAAAUCCCAUACUCGUAAAACGUGUGCUGCAGAUGAGAGGCUAU
Ornithodoros turicata is the source of this 101-nucleotide long non-coding RNA. RefSeq lists it as uncharacterized. The transcript is spliced from 3 exons. The record is from RefSeq and is a predicted model, not a curated record. NCBI's taxonomy places the organism in Eukaryota, Metazoa, Arthropoda, Arachnida, Ixodida, Argasidae.